GACAGAGGAUGCAAGCGUUAUCCGGAUUAAUUGGGCGUAAAGCGUUCGUAGGUGGUUUCUUAAGUCUUUUGUUAAAGGUCAAGGCUCAACUUUGAUUUGGCAAGAGAAACUCAGAGACUUGGGUACGGUAGAGACAGUGAGAACUCCCGGUGUAGCGGUGAAAUGCGUAGAGCUCGGGAAGAAUACCAAAAGCGAAGGCACGCUGUUGGGCCGUUUACUGACACUAAGGGACGAAAGCUUGGGGAGCGAAUGGG
This 254-nucleotide ribosomal RNA is filed under the name uncultured bacterium. RNAcentral describes it as "partial 16S ribosomal RNA". It matches the Rfam family "Bacterial small subunit ribosomal RNA", at positions 524 to 776 of the family's 1533-position model. The record is from RNAcentral.